This 800-nucleotide ribosomal RNA is filed under the name uncultured bacterium. RNAcentral describes it as "bacterial SSU rRNA". It matches the Rfam family "Bacterial small subunit ribosomal RNA", at positions 83 to 878 of the family's 1533-position model. The record is from RNAcentral.
ACCUGGUGGCGAGUGGCGAACGGGUGAGUAAAGCAUCGGAACGUACCCUAGAGUGGGGGAUAACUAUCCGAAAGGAUAGCUAAUACCGCAUAUUCUAUGAGUAGGAAAGCGGGGGAUCUUCGGACCUCGCGCUCUAGGAGCGGCCGAUGUCAGAUUAGGUAGUUGGUGGGGUAAAGGCCUACCAAGGCGAUGAUCAGUAGCCGGUCUGAGAGGAUGAACGGCCACAUUGGGACUGAGACACGGCCCAAACUCCUACGGGAGGCAGCAGUGGGGAAUCUUCCGCAAUGGACGAAAGUCUGACGGAGCAACGCCGCGUGAGUGAUGAAGGAUUUCGGUCUGUAAAGCUCUGUUGUUUAUGACGAACGUGCAGUGUGUGAACAAUGCAUUGCAAUGACGGUAGUAAACGAGGAAGCCACGGCUAACUACGUGCCAGCAGCCGCGGUAAUACGUAGGUGGCGAGCGUUGUCCGGAAUUAUUGGGCGUAAAGAGCAUGUAGGCGGCUUAAUAAGUCGAGCGUGAAAAUGCGGGGCUCAACCCCGUAUGGCGCUGGAAACUGUUAGGCUUGAGUGCAGGAGAGGAAAGGGGAAUUCCCAGUGUAGCGGUGAAAUGCGUAGAUAUUGGGAGGAACACCAGUGGCGAAGGCGCCUUUCUGGACUGUGUCUGACGCUGAGAUGCGAAAGCCAGGGUAGCGAACGGGAUUAGAUACCCCGGUAGUCCUGGCCGUAAACGAUGGGUACUAGGUGUUGCGGGUAUUGACCCCUGCAGUGCCGUAGCUAACGCAUUAAGUACUCCGCCUGGGG